AACGAACGCUGGCGGCAUGCCUAACACAUGCAAGUCGAACGAGACCUUCGGGUCUAGUGGCGCACGGGUGCGUAACGCGUGGGAACCUGCCCUUAGGUUCGGAAUAACUCCCCGAAAGGGGUGCUAAUACCGGAUAAUGUCUUCGGACCAAAGAUUUAUCGCCUUUGGAUGGGCCCGCGUUGGAUUAGCUAGUUGGUAGGGUAAAAGCCUACCAAGGCGACGAUCCAUAGCUGGUCUGAGAGGAUGAUCAGCCACACUGGGACUGAGACACGGCCCAGACUCCUACGGGAGGCAGCAGUGGGGAAUAUUGGACAGUGGGCGAAAGCCUGAUCCAGCAAUGCCGCGUGAGUGAUGAAGGCCUUAGGGUUGUAAAGCUCUUUUACCCGGGAGGAUAAUGACAGUACCGGGAGAAUAAGCUCCGGCUAACUCCGUG
RNAcentral lists this ribosomal RNA (433 nucleotides) under uncultured bacterium. RNAcentral describes it as "partial 16S ribosomal RNA". It matches the Rfam family "Bacterial small subunit ribosomal RNA", at positions 29 to 507 of the family's 1533-position model. The record is from RNAcentral.